CCUACGGGUGGCAGCAGUGGGGAAUAUUGCACAAUGGGGGAAACCCUGAUGCAGCGACGCCGCGUGAGUGAAGAAGUAUCUCGGUACGUAAAGCUCUAUCAGCAGGGAAGAAAAUGACGGUACCUGACUAAGAAGCCCCGGCUAACUACGUGCCAGCAGCCGCGGUAAUACGUAGGGGGCGAGCGUGAUCCGGAUUUACUGGGUGUAGGGGGAGCGUAGACGGCAGCACAAGUCUGGAGUGAAAUCCCGGGGCUUAACCCCGGAACUGCUUUGGAAACUGUGCGGCUGGAGUGCAGGAGGGGUAAGCGGAAUUCCUAGUGUAGCGGUGAAAUGCGUAGAUAUGAGGAGGAACACCGGUGGCGAAGGCGGCUUACUGGACUGUAACUGACGUUGAGGCUCGAAAGCGUGGGGAGCAAACAGGAUUAGAUACCCUUGUAGUC
RNAcentral lists this ribosomal RNA (440 nucleotides) under uncultured bacterium. RNAcentral describes it as "partial 16S ribosomal RNA". It matches the Rfam family "Bacterial small subunit ribosomal RNA", at positions 338 to 795 of the family's 1533-position model. The record is from RNAcentral.